GCUGAUAAGAUGGCAGCCUUGCAACAGAGGCAGGUAGUGGGGUUGGGGGAGAACAUCUGAUGCAGAGUAAAAAUAAGAUCUCUGAUUCCAAAGGUCAUGAAUUGUUAGAUCAUGGGAUGACUGUGUAUCAUUGGAAGAUGUAAGCUCAAGAAUAUUCAUGAAUAUAUGUUCUAUUAAACAUUGGAGAAUAUAUAAAAAACUGGAGGCCAAGAUACUUCCUUUUGAAGACAGAUGGCUCAUUCAUAGGAUAUAAAGAGAAACCUCAAGAUGUGGAUUUACCUUAUCCCCUCAACAACUUUUCAGUGGCAAAAUGCCAGUUAAUGAAAACAGAACGACCAAAGCCAAACACAUUUAUAAUCAGAUGUCUCCAAUGGACCACUGUUAUAGAGAGAACAUUUCAUGUAGAUACUCCAGAGGAAAG
RNAcentral lists this small RNA (421 nucleotides) under Pongo abelii (Sumatran orangutan). RNAcentral describes it as "processed transcript". The record is from RNAcentral. Lineage: Eukaryota; Metazoa; Chordata; Mammalia; Primates; Hominidae.